GUAGGUGGCAAGCGUUGUCCGGAAUUAUUGGGCGUAAAGCGCGCGCAGGCGGUCCUUUAAGUCUGAUGUGAAAGCCCACGGCUCAACCGUGGAGGGUCAUUGGAAACUGGGGGACUUGAGUACAGAAGAGGAAAGCGGAAUUCCAAGUGUAGCGGUGAAAUGCGUAGAGAUUUGGAGGAACACCAGCGGCGAAGGCGGCUUUCUGGUCUGUAACUGACGCUGAGGCGCGAAAGCGUGGAGAGCAAACAGGGAUUAGAUACCCUGGUAGCCCACGCCGUAAACGAUGAGUGCUAAGUGUUAGGGGGUUUCCGCCCCCUUAGUGCUGCAGCUAACGCAUUAAGCACUCCGCCUGGGGAGUACGGCCGCAAGGCUG
RNAcentral lists this ribosomal RNA (373 nucleotides) under uncultured organism. RNAcentral describes it as "partial 16S ribosomal RNA". It matches the Rfam family "Bacterial small subunit ribosomal RNA", at positions 527 to 896 of the family's 1533-position model. The record is from RNAcentral.